UGCUUGCACCUCUUCAAGUGAGUGCCGAACCCCUUUAUUAACACCUGGCACAACCUGCCUCAAUGCUCGGUAUAACAUUUGUUAAACAGAUGCUAAUACCGAAUAAAACUUAGUGUCGCAUGACACAUAGUUAAUACGCGCUUCGGCGUCACCUAGAGAUGUAUCCGCGGUGCAUUAGUUAGUUGGUGGGGUAAAGGCCUACCAAGACAAUGAUGCAUAGCCGAGUUGAGAGACUGAUCGGCCACAUUGGGACUGACACACGGCCCACACUCCUACGGGAGGCUGCAGUAGGGAAUCUUCCUCAAUGGGCGAUAGCCUGAUGGAUCAACGCCGCGUGUGUGAUGAAUGCUUUCGGGUCGUAAAGCACUGUUGUAUGGGAAGAACAGCUAGAAUAGGAAAUGAUUUUACUUUGACGGUACCAUACCAGAAAGGCACAGCUAAAUACGUGCCAGCCGCCGCGCUAAUACGUAUGUCCCGAGCGUUAUCCGGAUUUAUUGGGCGUAAAGCUAGCGCAUACGGUUUAUUAUGUCUGAUGUCAAAUCCCGGAGCUCAACUCCGGAAUGGCAUUGGAAACUGGUUAACUUGAGUGCCAUAGAUGUAAGUGGAACUCCAUGUGUAUCGGUGGAAUGCGUAGAUAUAUAGUAAAAACACCAUCUGAUCGAAUGGCAGCCUUUACUGGAACUGCAAACUGAACGUUUGAAGCCUCGAAAAGUGGUGGGUUAGCAAAACACGGAUUAGAAUACCCCUGGUUAGUACCACCCCCUUAAUCGAAUGAACCACUAUGGUGUUAAGGAAGGUUUUCCCCCCUCUUAAUGCCCGAAACCUAUCCGCAUUCAAGUGUU
Molecule: ribosomal RNA, 842 nt
Filed under: Leuconostoc mesenteroides
Lineage: Bacteria; Bacillati; Bacillota; Bacilli; Lactobacillales; Lactobacillaceae
Description: bacterial SSU rRNA
Rfam family: Bacterial small subunit ribosomal RNA
Source: RNAcentral